UACGUAGGGUGCAAGCGUUAUCCGGAAUUAUUGGGCGUAAAGAGCUCGUAGGCGGUUUGUCGCGUCUGCUGUGAAAACUGGGGGCUCAACCCCCAGCCUGCAGUGGGUACGGGCAGACUAGAGUGCGGUAGGGGAGAUUGGAAUUCCUGGUGUAGCGGUGGAAUGCGCAGAUAUCAGGAGGAACACCGAUGGCGAAGGCAGAUCUCUGGGCCGUAACUGACGCUGAGGAGCGAAAGCCAGGGGAGCGAACGGG
This 253-nucleotide ribosomal RNA is filed under the name uncultured bacterium. RNAcentral's name for it is "partial 16S ribosomal RNA". It matches the Rfam family "Bacterial small subunit ribosomal RNA", at positions 524 to 776 of the family's 1533-position model. The record is from RNAcentral.